UACAGAGGUGGCAAGCGUUGUUCGGAAUUACUGGGCGUAAAGGGCGCGUAGGCGGCUUUUUAAGUCAGACGUGAAAUCCCCCGGCUUAACCUGGGAACUGCGUCUGAUACUGGGAAGCUUGAGUUCGGGAGAGGGAUGUAGAAUUCCAGGUGUAGCGGUGAAAUGCGUAGAUAUCUGGAGGAACACCGAUGGCGAAGGCGGGUCUCUGGGCCCGAUACUGACGCUGAGGAGCGAAAGCGUGGGGGAGCGAACAGG
RNAcentral lists this ribosomal RNA (255 nucleotides) under uncultured bacterium. RNAcentral's name for it is "partial 16S ribosomal RNA". It matches the Rfam family "Bacterial small subunit ribosomal RNA", at positions 524 to 776 of the family's 1533-position model. The record is from RNAcentral.